AUGUCUUGGGCGCCAAUCGAGAAUGACCCUGGUGUUUUUACGGAGCUGUUGCAACAGUUGCAAUUGAAGGGUCUCCAAGUUGAUGAACUCUACUCACUUGAUCUUGAUGCCCUCAAUGAUCUUCAGCCAAUUUAUGGGCUUAUAGUUCUGUACAAAUGGCGACCUCCAGAAAAAGAUGAGCGCCCUGUUAUCAAGGAUGCGGUCCCAAAUCUGUUCUUUGCUAAUCAGAUAAUUAACAGUGCAUGUGCAACCCAAGCUAUUAUUUCUGUUCUGUUGAACUCUUCUGGCAUCACCCUUAGCGAGGACCUCAAAAAGCUCAAGGAGUUUGCAAAGGACAUGCCGCCAGAGCUCAAAGGAUUGGCUAUAGUGAAUUGUGAAAGCAUUCGUAUGACCAGUAAUUCAUUUGCAAAGUCAGAUGACUACUCCGAGGAACAGAAAUCCAAGGAUGAUGAUGUCUACCAUUUCAUUAGCUAUGUUCCUGUUGACGGCGUCCUGUAUGAGCUUGAUGGACUAAAGGAAGGACCGAUUAGCCUGGGAAAAUGCCCAGGUGGUAUUGGGGAGAUGGGGUGGCUGAAGAUGGUGCAGCCUGUCAUCCAGGAACGCGUUGAUAAGUUCUCUCAGAAUGAGAUAAGGUUCAGUGUCAUGGCUAUCACAAAGAACCGGAAGGAAAUUUUCAUCAUGGAGCUCAAGGAACUUCAGAGGAAGAGGGAGAACCUCUUAUCACAAAUGGGCGAUCCUUCUGCCAAUCGGCAAAGGCCAUCCAUUGAGCGGUCACUCGCAGAGGUUGCUGCUCAGAUUGAGGCUGUGACCGAGAAGAUCAUAAUGGAGGAAGAGAAGGCAAAGAAGUGGAAGACAGAGAACAUCAGGAGGAAGCACAACUACGUGCCUUUCUUGUUCAAUUUCCUCAAGAUCCUCGAGGAGAAGCAGCAACUGAAGCCCCUGGUAGAGAAGGCGAAACAGAAUUCUCACAGCCGUAACCCUAAGUGA
Molecule: ribosomal RNA, 987 nt
Filed under: Triticum aestivum (bread wheat)
Lineage: Eukaryota; Viridiplantae; Streptophyta; Magnoliopsida; Poales; Poaceae
Description: partial small subunit ribosomal RNA
Source: RNAcentral